RNAcentral lists this long non-coding RNA (1399 nucleotides) under Citrus x clementina. RNAcentral describes it as "Citrus clementina (C. clementina) long non-coding RNA (CCLE_LNC005379)". The record is from RNAcentral. Lineage: Eukaryota; Viridiplantae; Streptophyta; Magnoliopsida; Sapindales; Rutaceae.
AACCACCAGCAACAUAACUAAAACCAACAAUAUUGCUUGAAUCAACCAUCUCAAUAAACCAGCAAAAUCAGCUGAAUGAAGCACCUGGAAUUAACAUCAGCACAGCAAGAACAAUCUUGAAUGAACACGAAGAACAAACCAUACUGCCAUCAAAUGCCACAUAGUCUCAUACUGCCAUCAAAUACAAGUAACAUAUUUAACAAAACCAAAUACAAGUGAGAUGUUGGAAAACAUCAAAUAAACUAAACCAAAUGCCACUAUAUUCACACUUCUAGUAGUUAAACUAGAUGAUAUGUUCAAUUAAACAAAAUGUAGUUUGAUACUGAUGACAUUACAUUCAAAAUUCCAAAAAGGUAGAUUUCCAUCAGUAAAGCAUCAAAACCAAACCAAUCCAAUCCAGCAUAAUUACAAGCUCAACCCAAAACAACUAUACGUUAUAUUGAAAUAUCAAAAUUGGCUCUCAAACCAAGCUAAUACAGCCAAGUAAAUGAACAUGAGAACUUAAAACAGACCCACACUAACUAAAGUAUGUAAUAAACAGUUCCUCAGCUUAUAUGAGCAUUCGGACAUAGUUCAUCCAUUCAUACCGUACCUCAUCCAUUUCUGCCUAAGUGUAAACUGGUUUGUUGUUAAAUUGCAAAUGACCAAAUGGUUUAAUAGCAAAUAUGACGGACAAAAAUAUCAACAAAAAAUGAACAUAAAAUAUAUUACUUACAUUGUUGAGCAAUAAACUAGGAUCGGCAAUAAUAUCCCUCAUAUACAAUAUGACAUAAUAUCCACACUUAUAAGAACUAGGUUUUUUUUUUUUUGAACCUACAAUAAUAAAACUCAAUCUAAGUACGUAAUACGUUAUAGCAUGUAGUUAAUUAAAAUGAUACGCAAAAGGAAAUUGUAUUACCUGUACAAUUUUGAAUUCAAGGUGCACUCUUUUUUUAUCGCUUGUUGCUGUGAACAUGUUGAUCCCACUAGGAGUUUAAAACUUACUAUUAAAACUACUGAAAUGUUUAUAAUGGACUUAACAUUCUAUGAUGAUUUAACGAUGAUAUACCUACUUUAUUACCAACUUUUUAAUGUCUUCCACCGGAUUAUUUCCUUGCGGAUCCAUGAUUUAUCCAGUCUUUGCCACCACAUGGAUCACAACAAGAAUCCAAUGAGCUAUAUAAUUGAGCAACAACUUAUAAGUAAGAAGAAAUGAAAAUUAACAACUCAUUUAUUAAUGAAAAUGAAACUACCUAAGAUUGUAAGGAAUGAAUAUCAAUUGAGAGGGGCGACUUGGCCAAAUGAUUAGCAAUUGCUUGUGUCCUCGUUAUACUCGUUUUAAGCGCAUUUUCAACUCUGCUGGGGCUAACAUGAUCAGGAUUCAUGAAGGCAAACGGUUUCCCCAUCUUAUCAGCUAGAA